GAUGUCACCUAUGCUUUGAACAAAACCUGUUCUCCCCCUCUUCCCUGGUCUCCCAGAGAGGUCACCUGUGAGGUCAACUACAUGGAAGUGUCUGUGAGGAGUGAUGUGGCCUGUCCAACAGGGACAAAGAAGGAUGACUGGGAUGCUAGUUUCAAAAGGGCCUAUUCCUCAGCCACUUCAGAUUGGCAGGUGAUGUUUCAGAGGGCGCAGCCGGGGGUGUUGCCCAUUAGCCUUAACACGGCUAAAACGC
This is a long non-coding RNA of Etheostoma spectabile (orangethroat darter), 250 nucleotides long. RefSeq lists it as uncharacterized. The record is from RefSeq and is a predicted model, not a curated record. NCBI's taxonomy places the organism in Eukaryota, Metazoa, Chordata, Actinopteri, Perciformes, Percidae. The transcript has 3 exons.